Small nucleolar RNA from Rana temporaria (common frog), 69 nucleotides. The record is from RefSeq and is a predicted model, not a curated record. Lineage: Eukaryota; Metazoa; Chordata; Amphibia; Anura; Ranidae.
UUGACUAUAUGAUGACUUUUAUACCGCCCCAGUCUGAUGUUUGGUGACUGAGUGGUUUGUUCUGAUUGU